AGUGAACGCUGGCGGUAGGCCUAACACAUGCAAGUCGAACGGCAGCACAGUAAGAGCUUGCUCUUACGGGUGGCGAGUGGCGGACGGGUGAGGAAUACAUCGGAAUCUACUUUUUCGUGGGGGAUAACGUAGGGAAACUUACGCUAAUACCGCAUACGACCUACGGGUGAAAGCAGGGGAUCUUCGGACCUUGCGCGAUUGAAUGAGCCGAUGUCGGAUUAGCUAGUUGGCGGGGUAAAGGUCCACCAAGGCGACGAUCCGUAGCUGGUCUGAGAGGAUGAUCAGCCACACUGGAACUGAGACACGGUCCAGACUCCUACGGGAGGCAGCAGUGGGGAAUAUUGGACAAUGGGCGCAAGCCUGAUCCAGCCAUACCGCGUGGGUGAAGAAGGCCUUCGGGUUGUAAAGCCCUUUUGUUGGGAAAGAAAAGCAGCAGGUUAAUACCCCGCUGUUCUGACGGUACCCAAAGAAUAAGCACCGGCUAACCUCGUG
This 492-nucleotide ribosomal RNA is filed under the name uncultured bacterium. Its description in RNAcentral is "partial 16S ribosomal RNA". It matches the Rfam family "Bacterial small subunit ribosomal RNA", at positions 29 to 507 of the family's 1533-position model. The record is from RNAcentral.